UACGUAGGGGGCUAGCGUUGUCCGGAAUCAUUGGGCGUAAAGAGCGUGUAGGCGGUCCGGUAAGUCCGCUGUGAAAGUCGGGGGCUCAACCCUCGAAUGCCGGUGGAUACUGUCGGGCUAGAGUGCGGGAGAGGCGAGUGGAAUUCCUGGUGUAGCGGUGAAAUGCGCAGAUAUCAGGAGGAACACCAAUUGCGAAGGCAGCUCGCUGGAACGUAACUGACGCUGGAGACGCGAAAGCGUGGGGAGCAAACAGG
RNAcentral lists this ribosomal RNA (254 nucleotides) under uncultured bacterium. RNAcentral describes it as "partial 16S ribosomal RNA". It matches the Rfam family "Bacterial small subunit ribosomal RNA", at positions 524 to 776 of the family's 1533-position model. The record is from RNAcentral.